CUAGGGUCAGCGGGCCUUGGUGUUCGGGAAACCGGUGGAAAACCGGUGCGGCCCUCGCCACUGUGAUCGGGAAGUCCGGCUCCACUCCCCUGCGGGAAGCCACUGGGCCCGCGCGGGAGACCGCACGGCCCCGGGAAGGCGGAGUCAGGGCAUCAGUACCCGUGAGCCAGGAGACCGGCCAGGGCACGUCGUCCAUC
Molecule: non-coding RNA, 197 nt
Filed under: Streptomyces sp.
Lineage: Bacteria; Bacillati; Actinomycetota; Actinomycetes; Kitasatosporales; Streptomycetaceae
Also listed under: 1 other name
Source: RNAcentral